AGAGUUUGAUCCUGGCUCAGAUUGAACGCUGGCGGCAUGCCUUACACAUGCAAGUCGAACGGCAGCACGGGAGCUUGCUCCUGGUGGCGAGUGGCGAACGGGUGAGUAAUAUAUCGGAACGUACCCUAGAGUGGGGGAUAACGUAGCGAAAGUUGCGCUAAUACCGCAUACGAUCUACGGAUGAAAGUGGGGGAUCGCAAGACCUCAUGCUCAUGGAGCGGCCGAUAUCUGAUUAGCUAGUUGGUAGGGUAAAAGCCUACCAAGGCUUCGAUCAGUAGCUGGUCUGAGAGGACGACCAGCCACACUGGAACUGAGACACGGUCCAGACUCCUACGGGAGGCAGCAGUGGGGAAUUUUGGACAAUGGGCGCAAGCCUGAUCCAGCAAUGCCGCGUGAGUGAAGAAGGCCUUCGGGUUGUAAAGCUCUUUUGUCAGGGAAGAAACGGUGGACUCUAAUACAGAUCAUUAAUGACGGUACCUGAAGAAUAAGCACCGGCUAACUACGUGCCAGCAGCCGCGGUAAUACGUAGGGUGCAAGCGUUAAUCGGAAUUACUGGGCGUAAAGCGUGCGCAGGCGGUUGUGCAAGACAGAUGUGAAAUCCCCGGGCUCAACCUGGGAAUUGCAUUUGUGACUGCACGGCUAGAGUGUGUCAGAGGGGGGUAGAAUUCCACGUGUAGCAGUGAAAUGCGUAGAGAUGUGGAGGAAUACCGAUGGCGAAGGCAGCCCCCUGGGAUAACACUGACGCUCAUGCACGAAAGCGUGGGGAGCAAACAGGAUUAGAUACCCUGGUAGUCCACGCCCUAAACGAUGUCUACUAGUUGUUGGGUCUUAAUUGACUUAGUAACGCAGCUAACGCGUGAAGUAGACCGCCUGGGGAGUACGGUCGCAAGAUUAAAACUCAAAGGAAUUGACGGGGACCCGCACAAGCGGUGGAUGAUGUGGAUUAAUUCGAUGCAACGCGAAAAACCUUACCUACCCUUGACAUGUACGGAAUCCCUGAGAGAUUAGGGAGUGCUCGAAAGAGAGCCGUAACACAGGUGCUGCAUGGCUGUCGUCAGCUCGUGUCGCGAGAUGUUGGGUUAAGUCCCGCAACGAGCGCAACCCUUGUCAUUAGUUGCUACGAAAGGGCACUCUAAUGAGACUGCCGGUGACAAACCGGAGGAAGGUGGGGAUGACGUCAAAUCCUCAUGGCCCUUAUGGGUAGUGCUUCACACGCCAUACAAUGGUACAUACAGAGGGCCGCCAACCCGCGAGGGGGAGCUAAUCCCAGAAAGUGUAUCGUAGUCCGGAUUGUAGUCUGCAACUCGACUACAUGAAGUUGGAAUCGCUAGUAAUCGCGGAUCAGCAUGUCGCGGUGAAUACGUUCCCGGGUCUUGUACACACCGCCCGUCACACCAUGGGAGCGGGUUUCACCAGAAGUAGGUAGCCUAACCGUAAGGAGGGCGCUUACCACGGUGGGAUUCGUGACUGGGGUGAAGUCGUAACAAGGUA
RNAcentral lists this ribosomal RNA (1491 nucleotides) under metagenome. RNAcentral describes it as "bacterial SSU rRNA". It matches the Rfam family "Bacterial small subunit ribosomal RNA". The record is from RNAcentral.